RNAcentral lists this ribosomal RNA (447 nucleotides) under Triticum aestivum (bread wheat). Its description in RNAcentral is "partial small subunit ribosomal RNA". Lineage: Eukaryota; Viridiplantae; Streptophyta; Magnoliopsida; Poales; Poaceae. The record is from RNAcentral.
GAGGAUAAGUUAAUUUGCCAAUGUUGGAUGGAGAUUAGCCAAGAUCCGAAGACCGGCGCGCAACAAAAGAGUCUUGUUUUCUGGACGAGAAUCCACAAAACUUUUCAUGAAAGGAAGAUGUUUGAGCCCUACCAAAUUACAAGCAACCAUGGCAUCACCUUGAUUCAAAAGAGGUGGUUGUUCAUCCAACAAGAGUGUAACAAGUCUUGCGCCGCAUUUGAGAGCGUCGAAGCACGCCCCGUGAGUGGUCUCAGCGUUGAGGACAUGGUAUGUUCUCCUUAUCCUAGUCAUUUUCCUUGCUACGGCCAUGUGAGACUUCGGCCUUGUAUAUGUUUGCAUGCUCAAUUGUUGUUGAUCAUGUGGUGUAGGCAUUUCAAUCUUUGGAAGCAUUCAAGGCCCGGCACAAUGACAAGCCAUUCACUUUUACGCAUUGUUGGACGAUCAUGA